ACUCAAAUGAAUUGACGGGGGCCCGCACAAGCAGCGGAGCGUGUGGUUUAAUUCGAGGCUACACGAAGAACCUUACCUGGGCUUGACAUACGGCGAGUAGUGAACCGAAAGGGGAGCGACCGCAAGGAAGCCGUACAGGUGCUGCAUGGCUGUCGUCAGCUCGUGCCGUGAGGUGUUAGGUUAAGUCCUGUAACGAGCGCAACCCUCGGGUGCAGUUACAUGUGUCUGCACCGACUGCCCGUGACAAGCGGGAGGAAGGUGGGGAUGACGUCAAGUCAGCAUGGCCUUUAUGUCCAGGGCGACACACACGCUACAAUGGCUGGUACAAUGGGUUCGCCAAGCCGCAAGGUGGAGCCAAUCCAGCAAAGCCAGUCUCAGUUCGGAUUGGGGGCUGCAACCCGCCCCCAUGAAGUCGGAGUUGCUAGUAACCGCGCAUCAGCCAUGGCGCGGUGAAUACGUUCCCGGGCCUUGUACACACCGCCCGU
Molecule: ribosomal RNA, 485 nt
Filed under: uncultured bacterium
Lineage: Bacteria
Description: partial 16S ribosomal RNA
Rfam family: Bacterial small subunit ribosomal RNA
Source: RNAcentral